UUCUCCUGCACAUCGGCUCGCGCACCAUGGCAUGUAACUUUCCCGCUCCUAUGGCACUCAGUGGUCAUUGCCUGGUGUGUUUAAUUAUUCCGUGACACCUAUGGAAUAUGAGAGUCCAUAGCAACCCAGGGAGCUGUUCAAACCCGAAAACCGAGCUGCCGACCCCUAAAAGGGCCACAGCGACUGGUGUGGAGGACUCUCCUUUAGCACCCUCUAUGCAGAUGAACAGCGAUGGCCACAGAAUCCCACCCACCUGAACAGUACGAACACACAGUGGAACACGAUUCAGUCGAUGACGUGGUAAACAUGGAGCAUGUACUGAACUCACUGGAGAGGGUCAUUCUCACCAUCUUCCUCUCCAUCAUCAUCAUCAUGACUGUUCUGGGAAACCUGCUGGUGAUGGUGGCGCUCUGCAAGGACAGACAUCUUCGG
Oncorhynchus mykiss (rainbow trout) is the source of this 432-nucleotide non-coding RNA. The record is from RefSeq and is a predicted model, not a curated record. NCBI's taxonomy places the organism in Eukaryota, Metazoa, Chordata, Actinopteri, Salmoniformes, Salmonidae.